RNAcentral lists this ribosomal RNA (213 nucleotides) under Bacillus sp. GZT. RNAcentral's name for it is "partial 23S ribosomal RNA". It matches the Rfam family "Bacterial large subunit ribosomal RNA", at positions 1722 to 1944 of the family's 2925-position model. The record is from RNAcentral. Lineage: Bacteria; Bacillati; Bacillota; Bacilli; Caryophanales; Bacillaceae.
AUGACCCCGUAACUUCGGGAGAAGGGGUGCUUUCUUAACGGAAAGCCGCAGUGAAUAGGCCCAAGCGACUGUUUAGCAAAAACACAGCUCUCUGCGAAGCCGUAAGGCGAAGUAUAGGGGGUGACACCUGCCCGGUGCUGGAAGGUUAAGGAGAGGGGUUAGCGUAAGCGAAGCUCUGAACUGAAGCCCCAGUAAACGGCGGCCGUAACUAUA